GCUGGACUGGAGGAUCCACACUGCAGGCUGGAGAAACUCAAAUGUCUGUGAUCUCACACUGGACCUAAACACAGUAGACAGACAUCUGAGUGGAGUGGAACAAGGGUUGAUAUAGGAAUGACAUAUAAAGGAAUCUGCAGGAGAGGAGGGGAUAAUGACUGUUGUCUUGGAUGUAAUGACAAGUCCUGGAGUCUGUUCUGCUCUGACAACAGUUACAUUGCCUGGCACAAUAAUAAUUCCACUAUCACAGACGUCCCCUCCUCCAGCUCCCACAGAGUAGGAGUGUAUCUGGACUGGCCAGCCGGCACUCUGUCCUUCUACAGAGCCUCCUCUGACACACUGACGCACCUAAUCACAUUCACCUCCACAUUCACCGAGCCCCUCUAUCCAGGGUUUAGGGUUUGGGUUGAUGACUCCUCAGUGUCCCUG
Molecule: long non-coding RNA, 429 nt
Organism: Salvelinus sp. IW2-2015
Lineage: Eukaryota; Metazoa; Chordata; Actinopteri; Salmoniformes; Salmonidae
Source: RefSeq, a predicted model, not a curated record